Suricata suricatta (meerkat) is the source of this 106-nucleotide small nuclear RNA. The record is from Ensembl. Lineage: Eukaryota; Metazoa; Chordata; Mammalia; Carnivora; Herpestidae.
AUGCUCACUUUGGCAGCACAUAGACUAAGAUUGGAAGGAUACAGAGAUUAGCAUUGCCCCUGUGCAGGGACGACACAUAUGUUACACAGAAUAGUGCUUCCCAUCU